GUGGAUUAGAUACCCCGGUAGUCCACGCUGUAAACGUUGGGCGCUAGGUGUGGGUGACUGUUCACGUUGUCCGUGCCGUAGCUAACGCAUUAAGCGCCCCGCCUGGGGAGUACGGCCGCAAGGCUAAAACUCAAAGGAAUUGACGGGGGCCCGCACAAGCGGCGGAGCAUGUGGAUUAAUUCGAUGCAACGCGAAGAACCUUACCUGGGUUUGACAUGCACAGGAUCCCGGCAGAGAUGUCGGUUCCCUUGUGGCCUGUGUGCAGGUGGUGCACGGCCGUCGUCAGCU
RNAcentral lists this ribosomal RNA (288 nucleotides) under uncultured bacterium. RNAcentral's name for it is "partial 16S ribosomal RNA". It matches the Rfam family "Bacterial small subunit ribosomal RNA", at positions 773 to 1060 of the family's 1533-position model. The record is from RNAcentral.